CUACGGGAGGCAGCAGUGGGGAAUUUUGGACAAUGGGGGCAACCCUGAUCCAGCCAUGCCGCGUGCGGGAAGAAGGCCUUCGGGUUGUAAACCGCUUUUGUCCGGGAAGAAAAGGCACUCCCUAAUACGGGGUGUUCUUGACGGUACCGGAAGAAUAAGCACCGGCUAACUACGUGCCAGCAGCCGCGGUAAUACGUAGGGUGCGAGCGUUAAUCGGAAUUACUGGGCGUAAAGCGUGCGCAGGUGGUUCGUCAAGUCUGAUGUGAAAUCCCCGGGCUCAACCUGGGAACUGCAUUGGAUACUAGCGAGCUCGAGUGUGGCAGAGGGGGGUGGAAUUCCACGUGUAGCAGUGAAAUGCGUAGAGAUGUGGAGGAACACCGAUGGCGAAGGCAGCCCCCUGGGCUGACACUGACACUCAGGCACGAAAGCGUGGGGAGCGAACAGGAUUAGAAACCCUUGUAGUCCU
Molecule: ribosomal RNA, 466 nt
Filed under: uncultured bacterium
Lineage: Bacteria
Description: bacterial SSU rRNA
Rfam family: Bacterial small subunit ribosomal RNA
Source: RNAcentral